CCUGAUCAAUGAUGAUGCCUAUUUCAUAGUGACUGCUGGAUGAAACUUGCGGAUAUGGGACUGAGAUCUGUG
Megalobrama amblycephala (Wuchang bream) is the source of this 72-nucleotide small nucleolar RNA. RefSeq annotates it as small nucleolar RNA SNORD99. The record is from RefSeq and is a predicted model, not a curated record. NCBI's taxonomy places the organism in Eukaryota, Metazoa, Chordata, Actinopteri, Cypriniformes, Xenocyprididae. The transcript has a single exon.